This 281-nucleotide ribosomal RNA is filed under the name uncultured Oomycota. RNAcentral describes it as "uncultured Oomycetes partial 28S ribosomal RNA". It matches the Rfam family "Eukaryotic large subunit ribosomal RNA", at positions 326 to 612 of the family's 3401-position model. Lineage: Eukaryota; Oomycota. The record is from RNAcentral.
GUGCGAGACCGAUAGCGAACAAGUACCGUGAGGGAAAGAUGAAAAGAACUUUGAAAAGAGAGUUAAAGAGUACCUGAAACUGGUCAGAGGGAACCGUAUCGCUUCCAGUGUUGUAUCCUGUGCAUAUUUCAUUAGCGGAGUAAUUUGCUGGUGCCCUGUGCACGGGUGUGACGUCAGAGUCAGUUUGUAUGCUGCGGGAGAUGGUCAGUGAGGAGGUGCGUCACUUCGGUGAAAGUUAUACCUUGCUGUCUAGUAGCCGUGGUUGAGACUGAGGUGCCUAC